Molecule: ribosomal RNA, 428 nt
Filed under: uncultured bacterium
Lineage: Bacteria
Description: partial 16S ribosomal RNA
Rfam family: Bacterial small subunit ribosomal RNA
Source: RNAcentral
GUAGGGAAUAUUGCGCAAUGGGGGAAACCCUGACGCAGCGACGCUGCGUGAGUGAUGAAGGCCUUCGGGUCGUAAAGCUCUGUUGCAGGGGAAUAAAAAAAUGAAGGUACCCUGUGAGGAAGGAUCGGCUAACUUCGUGCCAGCAGCCGCGGUAAGACGAGGGAUCCUAGCGUUGCUCGGAAUCAUUGGGCGUAAAGAGGGCGUAGGUGGCUUGGUAAGUCAGGUGUGAAAGCCCAGGGCUCAACCCUGGAAGUGCAUUUGAUACUGCUGAGCUUGAGUGUCGGAGAGGUUACCGGAAUACCUGGUGUAGUGGUGAAAUACGUAGAUAUCAGGUGGAACACCGGAGGCGAAGGCGGGUAACUGGACGAACACUGACACUGAGGCCCGAAAGCGUGGGGAUCAAACAGGAUUAGAUACCCCUGUAGUCC